GAAUCUGGGUAACUACAUUAAUUUGCAUAAAAACAGAAGAAGCAGAAGAAGUUUGGGGUAGAACUUGGGACCUUUGCUAAAUAUAAAAAAUUAUCCCAAAGAAGUUCAAGAUAAAUUUUGGCAUCAAGAAGAUAUUUUGCAAAAUCUAGGCCAAAAAUUUCAAUCUAAAGAUCAGACAACCUUUGAAGAUCUGGCAUCUCCUAUCUUUGAAUAUCCAGCAUCUCCUAAAGCUGUGGCUUUUCUCAAUCCAUUUGUUCCAGAAGAUUGAGAGAUGAUAAAAAAAAAGAAGAAGAAAAAAGAGAAAAAAGAAAUAUUUUUCUACUAACCCUUUUAUCAAUUUUUUGGUAGAUAAAUUUUCUUUGCAGGUACUAUCUAGUGGCUCUAGCCACUUCUACAACUAGAUGAUUACCACUAUCCUCUGAAGACAACCACUAUUACUAUUUUCGAAGCUGGUUUAAUUCUCAAAGAUAAUUCUUCUCCAAAAUUCAGUCUACAUUAAGGUCUACACCAG
Molecule: long non-coding RNA, 511 nt
Filed under: Elaeis guineensis (African oil palm)
Lineage: Eukaryota; Viridiplantae; Streptophyta; Magnoliopsida; Arecales; Arecaceae
Description: long non-coding RNA (EGUI_LNC041101)
Source: RNAcentral